This 376-nucleotide ribosomal RNA is filed under the name uncultured bacterium. Its description in RNAcentral is "bacterial SSU rRNA". It matches the Rfam family "Bacterial small subunit ribosomal RNA", at positions 524 to 898 of the family's 1533-position model. The record is from RNAcentral.
UACAGAGGGUGCAAGCGUUAAUCGGAAUUACUGGGCGUAAAGGGUGCGUAGGUGGUGAGAUAAGUUAGUUGUGAAAGGCCUGGGCUUAACCUAGGAAUUGCAUCUAAUACUGUCUUGCUAGAGUACUGUAGAGGAAGGUGGAAUUUCCGGUGUAGCAGUGAAAUGCGUAGAUAUCGGAAGGAACAUCAGUGGCGAAGGCGGCCUUCUGGACAGAUACUGACACUGAGGCACGAAAGCGUGGGGAGCAAACAGGAUUAGAUACCCUGGUAGUCCACGCUGUAAACGAUGAGGACUGGCUGUUGGGCGUCGUGAGACGUUUAGUAGCGAAGCUAACGCGUUAAGUUCUCCGCCUGGGGAGUACGGCCGCAAGGCUAAA